AUACGUAGGGGGCGAGCGUUGUCCGGAAUGAUUGGGCGUAAAGCGCGCGCAGGCGGCCCGGUAAGUCUGGUGUGAAAGCCCUGUGUUUAAGCUGGGAAUUGCUUCGGAUACUGUCGGUCUUGAGUGCAGGAGAGGUAAGUGGAAUUCCCAGUGUAGCGGUGAAAUGCGUAGAUAUAAGGAAGAACACCAGUGGCGAAGGCGGCUCUCUGGACGACAACUGACGCUGAGGCGCGAAAGCGUGGGGAGCAAACAGGAUUAGAUACCCUGGUAGUCCAUGCCGUAAACGGUGGGCGCUAGGUGUAGGGGUCUUCCAGGCCUUCUGUGCCGUAGCUAACGCAUUAAGCGCCCCGCCUGGGGAGUACGGCCGCAAGGCUAAAACUCAAAUGAAUUGACGGGG
Molecule: ribosomal RNA, 397 nt
Filed under: uncultured bacterium
Lineage: Bacteria
Description: partial 16S ribosomal RNA
Rfam family: Bacterial small subunit ribosomal RNA
Source: RNAcentral